Molecule: ribosomal RNA, 503 nt
Filed under: uncultured bacterium
Lineage: Bacteria
Description: partial 16S ribosomal RNA
Rfam family: Bacterial small subunit ribosomal RNA
Source: RNAcentral
AUUGAACGCUGGCGGCAGGCUUAACACAUGCAAGUCGAGCGGAGUGAUGGUGCUUGCACUAUCACUUAGCGGCGGACGGGUGAGUAAUGCUUAGGAAUCUGCCUAUUAGUGGGGGACAACAUCUCGAAAGGGAUGCUAAUACCGCAUACGUCCUACGGGAGAAAGCAGGGGAUCACUUGUGACCUUGCGCUAAUAGAUGAGCCUAAGUCGGAUUAGCUAGUUGGUGGGGUAAAGGCCUACCAAGGCGACGAUCCGUAGCGGGUCUGAGAGGAUGAUCAGCCACACUGUGACUGAGACAAGGCCCAGACUCCUACGGGAGGCAGCAGUGGGGAAUAUUGGACAAUGGGGGGAACCCUGAGCCAGCGAUGCCGCGUGUGUGAAGAAGGCCUUAUGGUUGUAAAGCACGUUAAGCGAGGAGGAGGCUCUUUUGGUUAACACCCAAGAUGAGUGGACGUUACUCGCAGAAUAAGCACCGGCUAACUCUGUGCCAGCAGCCGCGGUAA